UGCCAGCCGCCGCGGUAAUACGGAGGGUGCAAGCGUUGUUCGGAAUUAUUGGGCGUAAAGCGCACGUAGGCGGUUGAGUAAGUCAGAUGUGAAAUUCCGGGGCUCAACCCCGGAGCUGCAUUUGAAACUGCCUGGCUAGAGUAUAGUUAGGGAAAACGGAAUUCCACGUGUAGCGGUGAAAUGCGUAGGUAUGUGGAAGAACACCGGUGGUGAAGACGGUUUUCUGGGCUAAAACUGACGCUGAGGCGCGAAAGCUAGGGGAGCAAACAGGAUUAGAUA
Molecule: ribosomal RNA, 279 nt
Filed under: uncultured bacterium
Lineage: Bacteria
Description: partial 16S ribosomal RNA
Rfam family: Bacterial small subunit ribosomal RNA
Source: RNAcentral